RNAcentral lists this ribosomal RNA (350 nucleotides) under uncultured bacterium. Its description in RNAcentral is "bacterial SSU rRNA". It matches the Rfam family "Bacterial small subunit ribosomal RNA", at positions 917 to 1267 of the family's 1533-position model. The record is from RNAcentral.
GGACCCGCACAAGCGGUGGAGCAUGUGGUUUAAUUCGAUGCAACGCGAAAAAACCUUACCUACUCUUGACAUACUUGGGAGCUCUUGUAAUGAGAGUGUGCCUUUUGGAACCAAGAUACAGGUGCUGCAUGGCUGUCGUCAGCUCGUGUCGUGAGAUGUUCCGUUAAGUCGGAUAACGAGCGCAACCCUUACCCUUAUUUGCCAGCGAUUCGGUCGGGAACUAUAAGGGGACUGCCGGUGAUAAACCGGAGGAAGGUGAGGACGACGUCAAGUCAUCAUGGCCCUUACGAGUAGGGCUACACACGUGCUACAAUGGGGAAUACAGAAAGCAGCCACUAUGCGAAUAGGAG